RNAcentral lists this ribosomal RNA (252 nucleotides) under uncultured soil bacterium. RNAcentral describes it as "partial 16S ribosomal RNA". It matches the Rfam family "Bacterial small subunit ribosomal RNA", at positions 26 to 279 of the family's 1533-position model. The record is from RNAcentral.
AGGACGAACGCUGGCGGCGUGCCUAACACAUGCAAGUCGAACGGGACCAGGGGCAACUCUGGUUCAGUGGCGGACGGGUGCGUAACACGUGAGGAACAUGACCUUCGGCGGGGGAUAGCCGGCCCAACGGCCGGGUAAUACCGCGUGCGACCACUUUGGGACAUCCCUGGGUGGUGAAAGCAGCAAUGCGCCGAUGGAGUGCCUCGCGGCCUAUCAGCUAGUUGGUGAGGUAACGGCUCACCAAGGCGACGA